RNAcentral lists this ribosomal RNA (489 nucleotides) under uncultured bacterium. RNAcentral describes it as "partial 16S ribosomal RNA". It matches the Rfam family "Bacterial small subunit ribosomal RNA", at positions 30 to 507 of the family's 1533-position model. The record is from RNAcentral.
AUUGAACGCUGGCGGCAGGCCUACCACAUGCAAGUCGAACGGUAACAGGAAGCAGCUUGCUGCUUCGCUGACGAGUGGCGGAAGGGUGAGUAAUGUCUGGAAGCUGCCUGAUGGAGGGGGAUAACUACUGGAAACGGUAGCUAAUACCGCAUAAUGUCGCAAGACCAAAGAGGGGGAACUUCGGGCCUCUUGCCAUCGGAUGUGCCCAGAUGGGAUUAGCUUGUUGGUGGGGUAACGGCUCACCAAGGCGACGAUCCCUAGCUGGUCUGAGAGGAUGACCAGCCACACUGGAACUGAGACACGGUCCAGACUCCUACGGGAGGCAGCAGUGGGGAAUAUUGCACAAUGGGCGCAAGCCUGAUGCAGCCAUGCCGCGUGUAUGAAGAAGGCCUUCGGGUUGUAAAGUACUUUCAGCGGGGAGGAAGGGAGUAAAGUUAAUACCUUUGCUCAUUGACGUUACCCGCAGAAGAAGCACCGGCUAACUCCGUG